GACGAACGCUGGCGGCGUGCUUAACACAUGCAAGUCGAACGGAAAGGCCAUGAUUUUGUGGGGUGCUCGAGUGGCGAACGGGUGUGUAAAACGUGAGUAUCCUGCCCUUGACUGUGGGAUAACUUCAGGAAACUGGGGCUAAUACAGGGAAGGAGCUAUUGCUGCAUGGGGGGGGUUGGAAAGUUUCGGCGGUUGGGGCUGGACUCGCGGCUUAUCAGCUUGUUGGGGGGGUAGUUGCUGAAAAAGGCUUUGACGGGUAGCCGGCCUGAGAGGGUGAACGGCGUCCAGGGUCCUACGGUAGGCCCCAGACGCCUACCGUCGGCAGUAGUGGAGAACCUUGCACAACGGGGCGACGCCUGUUGCAGCAGCGCUCCGUGCGGGAUGAUGGCUUUCGGGUUGUAAACCGCUUUCUCCUGUUCUGAGCCCUGCGUGACGGUAACGGAUAAAGAAGCACCGGCUAACUACGUG
RNAcentral lists this ribosomal RNA (468 nucleotides) under uncultured bacterium. RNAcentral describes it as "partial 16S ribosomal RNA". It matches the Rfam family "Bacterial small subunit ribosomal RNA", at positions 28 to 507 of the family's 1533-position model. The record is from RNAcentral.